This 267-nucleotide ribosomal RNA is filed under the name uncultured cyanobacterium. RNAcentral's name for it is "partial 16S ribosomal RNA". It matches the Rfam family "Bacterial small subunit ribosomal RNA", at positions 424 to 708 of the family's 1533-position model. The record is from RNAcentral. Lineage: Bacteria; Bacillati; Cyanobacteriota.
UGUAACCUCUUUACUCAAGGAAGAAGAUCUGACGGUACUUGAGAAUAAGCCACGGCUAAUUCCGUGCCAGCAGCCGCGGUAAUACGGGAGAGGCAAGCGUUAUCCGGAAUUAUUGGGCGUAAAGCGUCCGCAGGCGGCCUUGUAAGUCUGUCGUUAAAGCGUGGAGCUUAACUCCAUUUCAGCGAUGGAAACUACAAGGCUUGAGUGUGGUAGGAGCAGAGGGAAUUCCCGGUGUAGCGGUGAAAUGCGUAGAGAUCGGGAAGAAGC